This is a long non-coding RNA of Hylaeus volcanicus, 1855 nucleotides long. RefSeq lists it as uncharacterized. NCBI's taxonomy places the organism in Eukaryota, Metazoa, Arthropoda, Insecta, Hymenoptera, Colletidae. The record is from RefSeq and is a predicted model, not a curated record. The transcript has 3 exons.
CAUAUCAACAAAAUCGCUUGAAAAUGUCCAGUAAUCACCAUCGAGAUUAAGUAUAGUCAUUUUACAAGACGUAAAAUCAAUUCCGUUUUAUAGAUGACGCAAACCAUCGAGUAACAAGUUUCUUAUCGCAGGUUGUCAGGUUGUUGGUAACGUCGUCAGUUUUAUGUAAAACGAUUCCAGAAACUUGGAUGCUCGUCUCCGCGUACAGAUAAAUCUGUAUACUUCUUGGAAAUGACGCGACUCCACCCAGUGUAGCGCGGAAGUGCAUCGCGUCAGACCGAUCGUGAUCUCGUCUCCGAUUAACUGUAUCGAAAUUUGCAUAAUUCCCGUGGUUACGCGAUGCUAUUAUAUCUCGCGAGAUGCCAUAGUCUUCCGUUCACCGUGGAAUCGUGAAUCAGAGCUCGACUUGUAUCGAACGAUGGCGUGGUGCCGUUCAAAGUAGGCUAACUGCGCCUAACCAGGGAUUCCAGCGUAAACACGUACUAAAAAGCAAUGUUUACAAUAAACAAUAGCACAGCGAUAGCACAAGAUUCGAAAACGAUGUCGGUAUUAAGAUUCGAAUAAAGGACAGAGUUUUGUCUUAUUCUCAGAACCGUAAAAAAACGAAGCUGCCUCCUUAUUGCAGCACAGCCCUCAAUUGGAACGCGCCUUGUGUCGCUGUGUGCACGAAAGUGUUUGUUUAGGGAUAUUUGAAUUUGAAAGGACCCGAUCAGACGAACGAGCUCUAGCAACAACGAUAUACAACAUAUUUCGUCAGCGAGCAACCGCACUUGUUCAAUCGUUCACUUGGUCGGAGGCCGAGCCGAAUGAAGCCGAGUCCCCGCAACCGGAACGUCACGGAAAUAGUAUUACAGACUGCGUCGACGGCCGUUCGUCGGGAUAUUACGCAAUAGGUCUCAGCCUGGGUUCUGUUCAGGUGUACAUACGCGGGGAUUCCUUGUGGUGCCAAUCGUCUGGCGCUCUAUUCACCGCACACACGUCCGAGUUAACUGUGUGCUGGCGAACUAGACGACGACAGACGCGGGAUCUGGCACACGCGAGAAGCCUCCUACGGCAUCCGUGGAAUUCGUCAAGCGUGGCUUGACCAAGAUUUCAAAGGAAAUUGUGGUUAAAAAUCGUCUCGACUACUUCGCAUUUCCGGUUGUUACAUUAAUUCUGGGGCACCCCGUAUACUAUCUUUUGUUACCGAGAGUCUGACAUUCCUUUGUCGUUGGAUCGUUUAUUUGCAUUCGAGGAGAAACAACGUUACAUAAAAAUCGCAGCGAUGCCUCCAUGAUGGGGGUGGCACAGUAAAGAAAGCAAUUGUUCUCCGAGAAACGCAGCUCUCUCGAUUAUUCUUCCCCGGCAUUGUUUCUUCCUAUCUAUGGACUGGCCAAACGGCUCUGGCUUCUCCCUUAGAUCGUCGAUAUUUCGAACCUGGAAAUUUCGACGGUGCAAUCAACACGCUUGGACGGAGUUACGAGGUCAUAACGUUACGUAUAGAACGUAAACGUAAAGUGUGGAGCGUGGCACGUAAGUCGUAAAAGCUGGUAGUUUAGUAGAACGCCCUCCGAUACGAAUACAAUCGCCCUGGAGUUGCGCCUAGGUGUUGUUACGUCGAUGUGCUCGUAUCGGUGCGUCUGUGGACCACAUAAAGUUUCCCCGAAUGUAGAAUGUUAUGCCGGUAUUAGAAUGUAUCGCGAGUAAGGAUAUUCUGGACUUUACACUCGGCCCAGCAAAAGUUAAGAGUGUUCCAUACGAAAGAAACCUGACCUCCAUGAAUCCUGCGUCAAAGAACGGCCAACGUUCUUAUCGAUCUAGAUCAAAAUUUCGAGUAAAGAAUAGAGAAAGAACGAAAUUUUAUACAUAGUCACAU